AUUGAACGCUGGCGGCAGGCCUAACACAUGCAAGUCGAACGGUAACAGGAAGCAGCUUGCUGCUUUGCUGACGAGUGGCGGACGGGUGAGUAAUGUCUGGGAAACUGCCUGAUGGAGGGGGAUAACUACUGGAAACGGUGGCUAAUACCGCAUAACGUCGCAAGACCAAAGAGGGGGACCUUCGGGCCUCUUGCCAUCAGAUGUGCCCAGAUGGGAUUAGCUUGUUGGUGAGGUAACGGCUCACCAAGGCGACGAUCCCUAGCUGGUCUGAGAGGAUGACCAGCCACACUGGAACUGAGACACGGUCCAGACUCCUACGGGAGGCAGCAGUGGGGAAUAUUGCACAAUGGGCGCAAGCCUGAUGCAGCCAUGCCGCGUGUAUGAAGAAGGCCUUCGGGUUGUAAAGUACUUUCAGCGGGGAGGAAGGUGUUGUGGUUAAUAACCGCAGCAAUUGACGUUACCCGCAGAAGAAGCACCGGCUAACUCCGUGCCAGCAGCCGCGGUAAUACGGAGGGUGCAAGCGUUAAUCGGAAUUACUGGGCGUAAAGCGCACGCAGGCGGUCUGUCAAGUCGGAUGUGAAAUCCCCGGGCUCAACCUGGGAACUGCAUUCGAAACUGGCAGGCUUGAGUCUUGUAGAGGGGGGUAGAAUUCCAGGUGUAGCGGUGAAAUGCGUAGAGAUCUGGAGGAAUACCGGUGGCGAAGGCGGCCCCCUGGACAAAGACUGACGCUCAGGUGCGAAAGCGUGGGGAGCAAACAGGAUUAGAUACCCUGGUAGUCCACGCCGUAAACGAUGUCUACUUGGAGGUUGUGCCCUUGAGGCGUGGCUUCCGGAGCUAACGCGUUAAGUAGACCGCCUGGGGAGUACGGCCGCAAGGUUAAAACUCAAAUGAAUUGACGGGGGCCCGCACAAGCGGUGGAGCAUGUGGUUUAAUUUGAUGCAACGCGAAGAACCUUACCUGGUCUUGACAUCCACGGAAGUUUUCAGAGAUGAGAAUGUGCCUUCGGGAACCGUGAGACAGGUGCUGCAUGGCUGUCGUCAGCUCGUGUUGUGAAAUGUUGGGUUAAGUCCCGCAACGAGCGCAACCCUUAUCCUUUGUUGCCAGCGGUCCGGCCGGGAACUCAAAGGAGACUGCCAGAGAUAAACUGGAGGAAGGUGGGGAUGACGUCAAGUCAUCAUGGCCCUUACGACCAGGGCUACACACGUGCUACAAUGGCGCAUACAAAGAGAAGCGACCUCGCGAGAGCAAGCGGACCUCAUAAAGUGCGUCGUAGUCCGGAGGGGAGUCUGCAACUCGACUCCAUGAAGUCGGAAUCGCUAGUAAUCGUGGAUCAGAAUGCCACGGUGAAUACGUUCCCGGGCCUUGUACACACCGCCCGUCACACCAUGGGAGUGGGUUGCAAAAGAAGUAGGUAGCUUAACCUUCGGGAGGGCGCUUACCACUUUGUGAUUCAUGACUGGGGUGAAGUCGUAACAAGGUAACCGUAGGGGAACCUGCGGCUGGAUCACC
Molecule: ribosomal RNA, 1509 nt
Filed under: Salmonella enterica subsp. enterica serovar Paratyphi A
Lineage: Bacteria; Pseudomonadati; Pseudomonadota; Gammaproteobacteria; Enterobacterales; Enterobacteriaceae
Description: bacterial SSU rRNA
Rfam family: Bacterial small subunit ribosomal RNA
Source: RNAcentral